Molecule: ribosomal RNA, 910 nt
Filed under: uncultured bacterium
Lineage: Bacteria
Description: bacterial SSU rRNA
Rfam family: Bacterial small subunit ribosomal RNA
Source: RNAcentral
ACGCUGGCGGCGUGCCUAAUACAUGCAAGUAGGACGCACAGUUUAUACCGUAGCUUGCUACACCAUAGACUGUGAGUUGCGAACGGGUGAGUAACGCGUAGGUAACCUGCCUAUUAGAGGGGGAUAACUAUUGGAAACGAUAGCUAAUACCGCAUAACAGUAUGUAACACAUGUUAGAUGCUUGAAAGAUGCAAUUGCAUCGCUAGUAGAUGGACCUGCGUUGUAUUAGCUAGUAGGUAGGGUAAUGGCCUACCUAGGCGACGAUACAUAGCCGACCUGAGAGGGUGAUCGGCCACACUGGGACUGAGACACGGCCCAGACUCCUACGGGAGGCAGCAGUAGGGAAUCUUCGGCAAUGGGGGGAACCCUGACCGAGCAACGCCGCGUGAGUGAAGAAGGUUUUCGGAUCGUAAAGCUCUGUUGUUAAGGAAGAACGAGUGUGAGAAUGGAAAGUUCAUACUGUGACGGUACUUAACCAGAAAGGGACGGCUAACUACGUGCCAGCAGCCGCGGUAAUACGUAGGUCCCGAGCGUUGUCCGGAUUUAUUGGGCGUAAAGCGAGCGCAGGCGGUUAGAAAAGUCUGAAGUGAAAGGCAGUGGCUCAACCAUUGUAGGCUUUGGAAACUGUUUAACUUGAGUGCAGAAGGGGAGAGUGGAAUUCCAUGUGUAGCGGUGAAAUGCGUAGAUAUAUGGAGGAACACCGGUGGCGAAAGCGGCUCUCUGGUCUGUAACUGACGCUGAGGCUCGAAAGCGUGGGGAGCGAACAGGAUUAGAUACCCUGGUAGUCCACGCCGUAAACGAUGAGUGCUAGGUGUUAGGUCCUUUCCGGGACUUAGUGCCGCAGCUAACGCAUUAAGCACUCCGCCUGGGGAGUACGACCGCAAGGUUGAAACUCAAAGGAAUUGACGGG